Amphiprion ocellaris (clown anemonefish) is the source of this 768-nucleotide long non-coding RNA. RefSeq lists it as uncharacterized. The transcript has 3 exons. The record is from RefSeq and is a predicted model, not a curated record. NCBI's taxonomy places the organism in Eukaryota, Metazoa, Chordata, Actinopteri, Pomacentridae.
GACAGAAACGAAAAAAGGUCAGUUUUUUCAUUUUCUGAGACCGGAAGUGGUCAUCAGCAAGUGUGGAGCCAAACAGAGUACGGUGCAUAGACUGUAUAUACAUUUUUUCGUUAGUUUUCAUGGUCAAAAUGAGAGAUCAGGUUGCCGAUCUUAAAAUAAAUUAAUAUUGACUUUUUUAUAGAUCGUUACAGUUUUGCGAAGCCAGGGGGCGGGACUACUUGAUUGACAGUCCGGUCUGGAAUGAUUGACAGGUCCUAUGGAGGAGGAAGCGGAGACUCUGCUCUCCUCGUUUGGAUUAAUUCUGAUAUAAUAACUGUUGGUUUAUUUAUCGGUGCAGCAGCAGAACAUUUUCCACAGACAGUUUUCCUGCCCGUUGGCUUGUUUUAACCAGUUUCUGCCUUCGGCUGAUUCUACCAGCAGACACUGAAAGGACUCUAAUAGUUCGAGUGAAAGUAGCAGUUCCUCCUUAAGGUCAGAGAUUGCAGCAUCUGAGGGCCUCUUCAAAAGAAGAUGUAGUUGAUGAAGGCGUUCUGGAGCAGGACCAGAAAGACCACGACCAAGCAGCCUUGAGAUCUUAGGCAGCGUCUCCCUCAGGUCCCUCUCUAUCUCCCCACACAUCCACCAACCACUGGAACACAUCUCCAAAGUUCUGCCAGGCCAGCUCAGCUUCCCUUCAGAAGAAGUUCCACCAGAUGAAGGAGCCUUUUGAGAGGCAGCUGGCAUCGCUCACCCUGAAUGCAGCCGUCUGCUGUCUGAUAGUUUUCCUCA